Molecule: transfer RNA, 53 nt
Filed under: Brachymeles samarensis
Lineage: Eukaryota; Metazoa; Chordata; Lepidosauria; Squamata; Scincidae
Description: partial tRNA-Glx
Source: RNAcentral
GUACGAAGGGUUUUGAACUCUUUGGCGCAGGCUCGUUUCCUGUCUUUCUAAAA